RNAcentral lists this transfer RNA (72 nucleotides) under Kroppenstedtia eburnea. Its description in RNAcentral is "Thermoactinomycetaceae bacterium JFMB-ATE tRNA". It matches the Rfam family "tRNA". Rfam says of the family: Transfer RNA (tRNA) molecules are approximately 80 nucleotides in length. Their secondary structure includes four short double-helical elements and three loops (D, anti-codon, and T loops). RNAcentral also lists the same sequence under 5 other names. The record is from Rfam by way of RNAcentral. Lineage: Bacteria; Bacillati; Bacillota; Bacilli; Caryophanales; Thermoactinomycetaceae.
GGGCAGUUAGCUCAGGGGGAGAGCGCUACCUUGACACGGUAGAGGUCACUGGUUCGAUCCCAGUACUGCCCA